AAUUCGCCCUUAGAGUUUGAUCCUGGCUCAGAGUGAACGCUGGCGGUAGGCCUAACACAUGCAAGUCGAACGGCAGCACAGAGGAGCUUGCUCCUUGGGUGGCGAGUGGCGGACGGGUGAGGAAUACAUCGGAAUCUACUCUGUCGUGGGGGAUAACGUAGGGAAACUUACGCUAAUACCGCAUACGACCUACGGGUGAAAGCAGGGGAUCUUCGGACCUUGCGCGAUUGAAUGAGCCGAUGUCGGAUUAGCUAGUUGGCGGGGUAAAGGCCCACCAAGGCGACGAUCCGUAGCUGGUCUGAGAGGAUGAUCAGCCACACUGGAACUGAGACACGGUCCAGACUCCUACGGGAGGCAGCAGUGGGGAAUAUUGGACAAUGGGCGCAAGCCUGAUCCAGCCAUACCGCGUGGGUGAAGAAGGCCUUCGGGUUGUAAAGCCCUUUUGUUGGGAAAGAAAUCCAGCCGGCUAAUACCUGGUUGGGAUGAC
Molecule: ribosomal RNA, 487 nt
Filed under: uncultured bacterium
Lineage: Bacteria
Description: bacterial SSU rRNA
Rfam family: Bacterial small subunit ribosomal RNA
Source: RNAcentral